RNAcentral lists this unclassified non-coding RNA (308 nucleotides) under Hevea brasiliensis (rubber tree). The record is from RNAcentral. Lineage: Eukaryota; Viridiplantae; Streptophyta; Magnoliopsida; Malpighiales; Euphorbiaceae.
AGUAAAUAAAAACUGAGUUUCCUCUAAUGUUACAGUGAUUACAGGAAAUAUAUGUCCUCCCUUCCCCUACUGAGUCCUCAAUGUUUGACUAUAAAUGUGGGGUUCAGUCUUCUCCAUAUCCAUAAACACGAAUACAGAUCUUGGUUUAAUCUGUGUUAGGAACUAAAACACCUUCGUAGAUCCUCUUUUAAGAUUCAUCUAUCUCUUCUUUCUAAACUAGCUCCAGACAUUCUCCUUUAUUUUUUGUCUGCAUCUCUUGUAUUUCCAUAAAUAUAUGCUUGAGGUUAGGCCUUACCAAGGUGGGUGGU